GUCGUGCUCAUGCUCCUCAGCUUUUGUCCCUUGGUGACCUGCAUCCUUGCGACGUUUUGUCUUAUGCAAAAAGCUUCCUGAACUCCCACAUCGUUCUCGUCCAACUUGCCAAUAACCUCCACAAAACUACCCAUCUUAUCUGAAAUUUCUGAGCACAAUGUGCUGAGCAUUGAUGCAAUCUUCCUCUUGUUCUAUGUAAGAUUAAAAGAAAAAGCGUGUUAUAAAAGGUAAAA
RNAcentral lists this long non-coding RNA (233 nucleotides) under Hordeum vulgare. RNAcentral describes it as "long non-coding RNA (HVUL_LNC010846)". Lineage: Eukaryota; Viridiplantae; Streptophyta; Magnoliopsida; Poales; Poaceae. The record is from RNAcentral.